CAGUAGCCACGGGAAUACGAAGGGUGCAAGCGUUAAUCGGAAUUACUGGGCGUAAAGCGUGCGCAGGCGGUUUGUUAAGACAGAUGUGAAAUCCCCGGGCUCAACCUGGGAACUGCAUUUGUGACUGGCAAGCUAGAGUGUGGCAGAGGGGGGUGGAAUUCCGCGUGUAGCAGUGAAAUGCGUAGAUAUGCGGAGGAACACCGAUGGCGAAGGCAGCCCCCUGGGCUAACACUGACGCUCAUGCACGAAAGCGUGGGGAGCAAACAGGAUUAGAUACCCCGGUAGUCCCUGUCUCUUAUAC
Molecule: ribosomal RNA, 301 nt
Filed under: uncultured bacterium
Lineage: Bacteria
Description: partial 16S ribosomal RNA
Rfam family: Bacterial small subunit ribosomal RNA
Source: RNAcentral